Molecule: ribosomal RNA, 1434 nt
Filed under: uncultured bacterium
Lineage: Bacteria
Description: 16S ribosomal RNA
Rfam family: Bacterial small subunit ribosomal RNA
Source: RNAcentral
AGAGUUUGAUCCUGGCUCAGGACGAACUUUGGCGGCAUGCCUAACACAUGCAAGUCGAACGGAGUUAUUAUUCAGAAGUUCUUCGGAAUGGAAGGAUAAGAACUUAGUGGCGGACGGGUGAGUAACGCGUGGGUAACCUGCCCUUUUGUGGGGAACAACUUCGAGAAAUCGGAGCUAAUACCGCAUAAUAAUAGAGGAUCGCAUGAUUCUUUAAGGAAAGAUGGCCUCUGAAGAUGCUAUCGCAAAAGGAUGGACCCGCGUCUGAUUAGCUAGUUGGAAGGGUAACGGCCUACCAAGGCAACGAUCAGUAGCCGGCCUGAGAGGGUGAACGGCCACAUUGGGACUGAGACACGGCCCAAACUCCUACGGGAGGCAGCAGUGGGGAAUCUUCCGCAAUGGGCGAAAGCCUGACGGAGCAAUGCCGCGUGAGUGAAGAAGGCCUUCGGGUUGUAAAACUCUGUCCUUAUCGAAGAGAGGUAGGUAUGUGAAUAAUGUACCUAUAGGACGGUAGAUAAGGAGGAAGCCCCGGCUAACUACGUGCCAGCAGCCGCGGUAAUACGUAGGGGGCGAGCGUUGUCCGGAAUCACUGGGCGUAAAGGGCGCGUAGGCGGUUUAAUAAGUCAGUGGUGAAAACUGAGGGCUCAACCCUCAGCCUGCCACUGAUACUGUUAGACUUGAGUAUGGAAGAGGAGAAUGGAAUUCCUAGUGUAGCGGUGAAAUGCGUAGAUAUUAGGAGGAACACCAGUGGCGAAGGCGAUUCUCUGGGCCAAGACUGACGCUGAGGCGCGAAAGCGUGGGGAGCAAACAGGAUUAGAUACCCUGGUAGUCCACGCCGUAAACGAUGGAUACUAGGUGUUAGUAGUUUCGAUGCUACUAGUGCCGGAGUAAACACAAUAAGUAUCCCGCCUGGGGAGUACGGUCGCAAGACUGAAACUCAAAGGAAUUGACGGGGGCCCGCACAAGCGGUGGAGCAUGUGGUUUAAUUCGACGCAACGCGAAGAACCUUACCAAGACUUGACAUCCUCCUGACAAGAUAUGUAAUGUAUCUCUUUUCUUCGGAGACAGGAGAGACAGGUGGUGCAUGGUUGUCGUCAGCUCGUGUCGUGAGAUGUUGGGUUAAGUCCCGCAACGAGCGCAACCCUUAUUUCUAGUUGCCAGCAGUAAGAUGGGGACUCUAGAGAGACUGCCAGUGACAAACUGGAGGAAGGUGGGGAUGACGUCAAAUCAUCAUGCCCCUUAUGUCUUGGGCUACACACGUGCUACAAUGGUCAGAACAGAGGGAAGGGAAGCCGCGAGGUGGAGCAAAUCCCAGAAAACUGAUCUCAGUUCGGAUUGCAGGCUGCAACCCGCCUGCAUGAAGUCGGAAUCGCUAGUAAUCGCGGGUCAGCAUACCGCGGUGAAUACGUUCCCGGGCCUUGCACUCACCGCCCGUCA